ACGACAUUUCUCUUCCUCUGAAAAUCGAUUGAACAACAACCUUCAGCUUAUCUCGCAAAUCGACCUCACUCUCGCUCUGGGUUCUCUCUUCCAAAACGCUACCUCUUCCUCCUUCGAUUGUUGCCUAUCACGAAGAACAACAACCUGUGACGAGCAGCCAUGGCUUAAUUUCUCAGUUACUCUCAUUCAAGCUCUCGCGAUUUCUCUUUGUGAACAACAACAACAACGCUCAACCAAUCUCUCUUAGUUUCACGGCAGCCAUGGGUGAACAGGAAGUUAUUUUAAAGAUGAUACACAAGAACAACAAAAGCUAACAACAACAACUAACAACAAAUUUAAGGAUAAAUUUAAGGAUGAGAGUGUAGUCGGACUUACCUACGGCAAGGAGGUCUUUGCCGGAUUUGUUGAGUGGCCAUGGGAUCUUAUCUCGACAAGAAGAACUUACCGUAUAACCCGGUUUCUUUCACAAACAGAGGGAAAUAUGUUCAUGGUAACAACAAUAUUGAGAGUAAGAGUGAAAUUAGCUUACCUACGGCGAGGAGGUUUUCGCCGGAUUAUUGUUGAAGGCUUUUGAUGAAGAUGGCCACCACCUCUUUGGAUGUUAGGGAGACUUGAAGAUGGACUUCAAGUUGGAACUCUCCACCAAGGUAUGAAGAAUUUCUUCUUCACUCUCUUCAAACCAUGGAACUUUGUAACUAGGAAUUCUCACUUCUCAAGUGGUUUUCUUUGGUUUGAAGAAUUGCUUCUUCUUGCCAAGAAACUUGAAAACUAUGAGAGAAAAGAGAGAAGUGAGAAAGCUAGUAGUAUAGUAGCUUUGGUGUGUUUUGCAAUGAAGUGAGGCCUUCUAUUUAUAGGAAAAGUUAAGGAAGUGUUUGGCAUUUGGUAAACUUGAAUGGCAAGUUUCAAUCAUUGCAAGAUAAGAAAAAGAAUAAGAAUAUUCUUUAUGAGAUUUUUCUCUUGCAAGUGGACAUGAAAUAUCUUUGAUUCCUUUUUGAAUUAUUUCUUUUUUUUGAAUUAUUUCCUUUGUUGGAUUUUUGCUAAUCUCACCCCUUUUUGUCUUGAAUUAUUCUUUUGCUAAAUUCACCCCUCUUAUGUUUCUUUUUCAUGUUGCAUGAGGACUUUGAAGAAAGCAUGAAGAAGCUUGAACUUGAAGGAUGAAGACUUUGAAGAUUGAAGAAUUCAAGAAAGCA
Long non-coding RNA from Vicia villosa (hairy vetch), 1190 nucleotides. RefSeq lists it as uncharacterized. The transcript has 5 exons. NCBI's taxonomy places the organism in Eukaryota, Viridiplantae, Streptophyta, Magnoliopsida, Fabales, Fabaceae. The record is from RefSeq and is a predicted model, not a curated record.